RNAcentral lists this ribosomal RNA (497 nucleotides) under uncultured bacterium. Its description in RNAcentral is "partial 16S ribosomal RNA". It matches the Rfam family "Bacterial small subunit ribosomal RNA", at positions 28 to 507 of the family's 1533-position model. The record is from RNAcentral.
GAUGAACGCUGGCGGCGUGCCUAAUACAUGCAAGUCGAGCGAACAGACGAGGAGCUUGCUCCUCUGACGUUAGCGGCGGACGGGUGAGUAACACGUGGAUAACCUACCUAUAAGACUGGGAUAACUUCGGAAAACCGGAGCUAAUACCGGAUAAUAUAUUGAACCGCAUGGUUCAAUAGUGAAAGACGGUUUUGCUGUCACUUAUAGAUGGAUCCGCGCCGCAUUAGCUAGUUGGUAAGGUAACGGCUUACCAAGGCAACGAUGCGUAGCCGACCUGAGAGGGUGAUCGGCCACACUGGAACUGAGACACGGUCCAGACUCCUACGGGAGGCAGCAGUAGGGAAUCUUCCGCAAUGGGCGAAAGCUUGACGGAGCAACGCCGCGUGAGUGAUGAAGGUCUUCGGAUCGUAAAACUCUGUUAUUAGGGAAGAACAAAUGUGUAAGUAACUAUGCACGUCUUGACGGUACCUAAUCAGAAAGCCACGGCUAACUACGUG